RNAcentral lists this ribosomal RNA (321 nucleotides) under uncultured bacterium. Its description in RNAcentral is "bacterial SSU rRNA". It matches the Rfam family "Bacterial small subunit ribosomal RNA", at positions 30 to 348 of the family's 1533-position model. The record is from RNAcentral.
AUUGAACGCUGGCGGCAUGCCUAACACAUGCAAGUCGAACGGCAGCACGGGAGCUUGCUCCUGGUGGCGAGUGGCGGACGGGUGAGUAAUGCAUAGGAAUCUGCCCAGUAGCGGGGGACAACUUGGGGAAACUCAAGCUAAUACCGCAUGCGCCCUACGGGGGAAAGCGGGGGACCUUCGGGCCUCGCACUAUUGGAUGAGCCUAUGUCAGAUUAGCUUGUUGGUGGGGUAACGGGCCUACCAAGGCGACGAUCUGUAGCUGGUCUGAGAGGACGAUCAGCCACACUGGGACUGAGACACGGCCCAGACUCCUACGGGAGG